CCCUUAGAUGUUCUGGGCUGCACGCGCGCUACACUGAUGCGUUCAACGAGUUUACGACCUUGCCAGACAUGGCUGGGUAAUCUUCUUAAACUGCAUCGUGAUGGGGAUAGAUUAUUGCAAUUAUUGAUCUUCAACGAGGAAUUCCUAGUAAGCGCGAGUCAUCAGCUCGUGCUGAUUACGUCCCUGCCCUUUGUACACACCGCCCGUCGCUCCUACCGAUUGAGUGCUUCGGUGAAUAACUCGGACUGUAGCAGUUCGCAGUUCCUGCGUCUGCCGCGGAAAGUUUAGUGAACCUCAGCACUUAGAGGAAGGUGAAGUCGUAACA
RNAcentral lists this ribosomal RNA (325 nucleotides) under uncultured eukaryote. RNAcentral's name for it is "partial 18S ribosomal RNA". It matches the Rfam family "Eukaryotic small subunit ribosomal RNA", at positions 1470 to 1796 of the family's 1831-position model. The record is from RNAcentral.